AAAGAUAGUUUUGAAGAAAAAGAACUGAAUGUAUUACUUUCAAAGGAUUCUUGGAAUGUUAUAACAAAAUAGAGUAACUUCAUCAUAUCUAUAUAGUCUGCAAACGAGUACCGACAGCUAAAAGGUUAUUACAGUUAAGCAUCGCAUAAAACAUUUUGAGUUGAGCAUCGCAUUAAAAUGUGUGGCGAGUCUCAAAAUCGCUCGAAUGCCGCUGCCGUUUCAAGCAUCACGAGAAGAUACGAUAUGUAACGUAGAAUUCGACGGGGGAACGAUACCCUCGGAAGAAAUAAGCGCGACAUAAGGUACCGGAAGGGCGAUCGUACUCUGGCAAAAGCCGCGGUCGCUUAGCGCGGCCGCUUUGGGAGAAAGCAUCAUAAAUAACGCCCGAACUUCGGAUCUACUCUCGUUCCCACCGCCCUCGCCACCCCGUCUCCCAUCCCGCAGUUCUUCUCUUCGUUUUUCUCUUUUUCUCGUCUCGCCUGUGUUUCAGUUCACGGAUAUCACCGCGGCUCCUCAUCCCGCGGUGUUUCGGCUGCGCGCGCGCGCGCGCGCUCGCAUUUCGAUCUCUCCCGGCAGGGCUUCGCGAAAUAUGAGUAAAAACUACGAAUAAGAGGGUUGCCGCUGUGUUACAUCCAUAAAUAACGGGACACGUGACAACCGAGCCGAGUGGCUGUCGCCGAGAUACUCGUGUAUUACUGUAUUUUCUGGAUUCGCGCGGCGUGGUGUUUUCACACGCACCGGUGGAAUAAAAGGCGGCCUCGCGUUGAGCCUUGUCGCGGUUUUCCACACACACACAUACACACACACACGGUAGAUACCGCCAAAAAUAUCAGUCUUAUAUUUUUUCGCAACUUGCGACCGCGCGAAUAUAUAUUGUUAUUUACGAACCAGUCGUGUAUCGCGCGAAUAUUAAUAAACAAAUGAUCCGUAUACGAUUUAUUCGCGAUACUUUUAGCAGGAUAGAAAGCGAAAAACCGUAAUAAUUGGCAGUAACGAUAAAAUAUUACAGAUCGUAUAAUGUAACCCAGCGUGUAAUUUUUUGUAUGAUAUUCAUGGGGCAUGACGGUGCUGAAACGAGUAAUGGGAAGUAACAACUGCAAAUGUCAUCAACUUAUGUAUUUUUAUCGAUAUCAUGAUUUGUAAUGGCCACGGAUAAUAACGCUGAUGCGCGCGUUUUAAUACGUAUAAACGGCGAAUUUCUCUCGACUCCCUAUGGAAUCUCAUUUGCAAAACGAUACCCGCACGUACUAUGCGUUUCGGCAUCAAACGAGAACGGGGGCACGAAUCUCGCGGAAGUCGCGAGUUUCGAAUACGCGUAACAUGCAACAUGCCAGACUCUCCCGCUAUGCAGCGAAAUAAUACAUGCGGUCGCUAAUACAUAGACGUGCCUUUGCCUUCGCCUUCGUGUCGAGGGGUAGGUUGCCGCUGACUCGCGGAGAGAAGGGGAGGAGGGUGCAACGCGCACCAGUAUGCAUCCUGUCUCUGCGCCUGAGUGCAUACUGCAAUAUUUACCCUCCACAGAGCGGCAGCGCGGCUCUCCUUACUUCCAAAGUGAAACAUAACCAGUAUCGCGAGCGGUGAAAUACUGGCGAGACUCCUUCGACCGUCCAACGUCACUCUGGAUAUAUCCAAGAUAUAAUAUCCAACGCAAAAAUAUAAAAUUGCAAAAGAAAGAAAUGGAUAUUGCAUCUUGAAUAUUACGAUUAAUAAUCUUGAUCGAGAAACGCCAAGACUUGAUAGCUAAUUAUAUAAACAGCAAAGACGCAUUGUUAUUAAUAUCACUUUUCUUUAGCAAUUUCAAGUAUCGAUCGAAUCAUAAGCGUAAUUUCGCACUUUUUUGCAGUUAUACUCUAAAUAUCGAUCUAUCCAACUGAUUGCGUUAUUGCUCGACCGCGAUGCUGCGACCAGAAAGUGAACAAAGAGAAAGGAGAUUGGUAGAAAGAACUUUGCGGUGGACGGGUGAUUAGUCUCGUCAGUUCGCUCGCGGUAGAUCGUCGCUGGAUAAAGCGCCUUCGAGUAGAGUACGAGCCGACCGAUGGCGAAUGCCUUGCAUGUGUUGUAUCGCAUGGCGGAUAACUAGCGUCGAUGUAAGACAAUGCCGUGAUUAUCUAUCGCGCACGCCAUGUACGGGGCGAGUAUAUACCGUAACCACCGGAGAGUAUCUGCGGCUUGUCGACACGGCUUUGGCCGCC
Molecule: long non-coding RNA, 2192 nt
Filed under: Camponotus floridanus (Florida carpenter ant)
Lineage: Eukaryota; Metazoa; Arthropoda; Insecta; Hymenoptera; Formicidae
Description: uncharacterized LOC109610049
Source: RNAcentral